GGGGACGAGCUCGGCGACC
Molecule: unclassified non-coding RNA, 19 nt
Filed under: Chlamydomonas reinhardtii
Lineage: Eukaryota; Viridiplantae; Chlorophyta; Chlorophyceae; Chlamydomonadales; Chlamydomonadaceae
Description: small RNA Cre_1918
Source: RNAcentral